UACGGAGGACCCGAGCAUUAUCCGGAUUCAUUGGGUUUAAAGGGUGCGCAGGCGGCCCGGUAAGUCAGCGGUGAAAGGCCCACGCUCCACGUGGGAGCUGCCGUUGAUACUGCCGGGCUGGAAUGUCAGCAAGGCGGGCGGAAUGCGCGGUGUAGCGGUGAAAUGCAUAGAUAUCGCGCAGAACGCCGAUUGGGGAGCCAGCUCGCCAGCUGACCAUUGACGCUGAGGCACGAAAGCGUGGGGAUCGAAC
Molecule: ribosomal RNA, 250 nt
Filed under: uncultured bacterium
Lineage: Bacteria
Description: partial 16S ribosomal RNA
Rfam family: Bacterial small subunit ribosomal RNA
Source: RNAcentral